GCCGGGCAUGCCUGUAGUCCCAGCUACUUGGGAGGCUGAGACAGGAGAGUUCUGGGCUGUAGUGCGCUAUGCCGAUCGGGUGUCCACACUAAGUUCAGCAUCAAUAUAGUGACCUCCUGGGAGUGGGAGGUCACCAGGUUGCCUAAGGAGGGAUGAACCGGCCCAGGUUGGAAACGGAGCAGGUCAAAGUAUGUAGAUUUAAGCAGGAGGGUAUUAUAUGUGGCUUCUCCUUCAAUGAAGCUAUUAAU
Cricetulus griseus (Chinese hamster) is the source of this 248-nucleotide unclassified non-coding RNA. It matches the Rfam family "Metazoan signal recognition particle RNA". Rfam says of the family: The signal recognition particle (SRP) is a universally conserved ribonucleoprotein. It is involved in the co-translational targeting of proteins to membranes. The record is from Ensembl. Lineage: Eukaryota; Metazoa; Chordata; Mammalia; Rodentia; Cricetidae.